This 253-nucleotide ribosomal RNA is filed under the name uncultured bacterium. RNAcentral describes it as "partial 16S ribosomal RNA". It matches the Rfam family "Bacterial small subunit ribosomal RNA", at positions 524 to 776 of the family's 1533-position model. The record is from RNAcentral.
UACGAAGGGGGCGAGCGUUGUUCGGAUUUACUGGGCGUAAAGGGCGCGCAGGCGGCAGAUCAAGUCAGACGUGAAAGCCCCGGGCUUAACCUGGGAACUGCGUUUGGGACUGGUUUGCUAGAGAUCGGGAGAGGAGAGUGGAAUUCCCAGUGUAGAGGUGAAAUUCGUAGAUAUUGGGAAGAACACCGGUGGCGAAGGCGGCUCUCUGGACCGAUACUGACGCUGAGGAGCGAAAGCGUGGGGAGCAAACAGG